Molecule: unclassified non-coding RNA, 332 nt
Filed under: soil metagenome
Description: partial contains 5.8S ribosomal RNA, internal transcribed spacer 2, and large subunit ribosomal RNA
Rfam family: 5.8S ribosomal RNA (bases 1-120)
Source: RNAcentral
GAUGAAGAACGUAGCGAAAUGCGAUAAGUAGUGUGAAUUGCAGAAUUCAGUGAAUCAUCGAAUCUUUGAACGCACAUUGCGCCCUUUGGUAUUCCUUAGGGCAUGCCUGUUCGAGCGUCAUUUAAACCUUCAAGCUAAGCUUGGUGUUGGGUGACUGUCCGCUUCACGGCGGACUCGCCUCAAAAUUAUUGGCGGCCGGUACAUUGGCUUCGAGCGCAGCAGAAACGCGAACUCGGGCCCGUCGUAUUGGCUCCCAGAAGCUAUCUUCACAAUUUUGACCUCGGGUCAGGUAGGGAUACCCGCUGAACUUAAGCAUAUCAAUAAGCGGAGGA